ACAAAUAUAAAAAUAUAUAUAUUAUUGGCCAUACAAGAUUGAUAAGGGAGAUUUAUAACUACUGAUACCCUUAUCUUUAUAACUUUAAGACUUCUCCAUAAAUUCUUCCUCUUGCUCAACAACAUUUUGUAGCAAAAGCAUAUAUAUAUAUAUAUAUAUAUAUAUAUAUAUAUAUAUAUAUAUAUAUAUAUAUAUAUANNN
RNAcentral lists this long non-coding RNA (201 nucleotides) under Panax ginseng (ginseng). Its description in RNAcentral is "long non-coding RNA (PGIN_LNC014924)". Lineage: Eukaryota; Viridiplantae; Streptophyta; Magnoliopsida; Apiales; Araliaceae. The record is from RNAcentral.